This 550-nucleotide long non-coding RNA is filed under the name Mytilus galloprovincialis (Mediterranean mussel). The record is from RNAcentral. Lineage: Eukaryota; Metazoa; Mollusca; Bivalvia; Mytilida; Mytilidae.
CGAAAACGAAAACAUCAUAUCAGCCAACAGUUAUCAGCCCGAAUAUUUUGAAAGAAAAUGGUUUCAUAUUUUGUGUUAUGCUUAUGUUUUGGACUCUCAGGGGCUUUUUUGUUUGACACUAGUACGAUUUCUCCGGGCGGAGGAAGCGCGGGAAUAACAGAUAAACAUUACUAUGACUUACUCGAUUUAAUCAUGGAAGAAAGAAGAUCACGCCGGCAACUGGAGCAGUAUGUAGGUGGUUCAUUACAAGGUGAAUUAAAACAUCUACAAAACGAGACCAUUUCAUUGAAGACGAAUUAUCAAAAGUUGGUGUCUGAUAAUGUGAAUCUUAAAAAUAAAUUAUCCCGCUUGGAAAAUGAGACCGGCUCAAAAGAUGAACUUUUUCAAUUUGAGCAGAAAUUAAACGAUACUCGAGACGCUACCGAGAGACACAUUCAACAAGUUAAGACGUAUGUUGACAACAUUUCACAGAACUAUAGUUCAAUUAUUAACGGAAUAUCUUCAAAUGUGGCAAAUAUGACGGAACAGCAGGAUAACGACAGAGAAAUGG